This 440-nucleotide ribosomal RNA is filed under the name uncultured bacterium. RNAcentral's name for it is "partial 16S ribosomal RNA". It matches the Rfam family "Bacterial small subunit ribosomal RNA", at positions 338 to 795 of the family's 1533-position model. The record is from RNAcentral.
CCUACGGGACGCAGCAGUGGGGAAUAUUGCACAAUGGGGGAAACCCUGAUGCAGCGACGCCGCGUGAGUGAAGAAGUAUUUCGGUAUGUAAAGCUCUAUCAGCAGGGAAGAAAAUGACGGUACAUGAUUAAGAAGCCCCGGCUAACUAAGGGCCAGCAGCCGCGGUAAAACGUAGGGGGCAAGCGUUAUCCGGAUUUACUGGGUGGAAAGGGAGCGUAGACGGCAGCACAAGUCUGGAGUGAAAUGCCGGGGCUUAACCCCGGAACUGGUUUUGAAACUGUGCAGAUAGAGUGCAGGAGAGGUAAGUGGAAUUCCUAGUGUAGCGGUGAAAUGCGUAGAUAUUAGGAGGAACACCAGUGGCGAAGGCGGCUUACUGGACUGUAACUGACGUUGAGGCUCGAAAGCGUGGGGAGCAAACAGGAUUAGAUACCCCGGUAGUC